Molecule: ribosomal RNA, 1017 nt
Filed under: uncultured bacterium
Lineage: Bacteria
Also listed under: 1 other name
Description: bacterial SSU rRNA
Rfam family: Bacterial small subunit ribosomal RNA
Source: RNAcentral
UGAGGAAUAUUGGUCAAUGGACGAGAGUCUGAACCAGCCAAGUAGCGUGAAGGAUGACUGCCCUAUGGGUUGUAAACUUCUUUUAUACGGGAAUAAAGUGAGGCACGUGUGCCUUUUUGUAUGUACCGUAUGAAUAAGGAUCGGCUAACUCCGUGCCAGCAGCCGCGGUAAUACGGAGGAUCCGAGCGUUAUCCGGAUUUAUUGGGUUUAAAGGGAGCGUAGGCGGACGCUUAAGUCAGUUGUGAAAGUUUGCGGCUCAACCGUAAAAUUGCAGUUGAUACUGGGUGUCUUGAGUACAGUAGAGGCAGGCGGAAUUCGUGGUGUAGCGGUGAAAUGCUUAGAUAUCACGAAGAACUCCGAUUGCGAAGGCAGCUUGCUGGACUGUAACUGACGCUGAUGCUCGAAAGUGUGGGUAUCAAACAGGAUUAGAUACCCUGGUAGUCCACACAGUAAACGAUGAAUACUCGCUGUUUGCGAUAUACAGUAAGCGGCCAAGCGAAAGCGUUAAGUAUUCCACCUGGGGAGUACGCCGGCAACGGUGAAACUCAAAGGAAUUGACGGGGGCCCGCACAAGCGGAGGAACAUGUGGUUUAAUUCGAUGAUACGCGAGGAACCUUACCCGGGCUUGAAUUGCAACUGAAUGAUGUGGAGACAUGUCAGCCGCAAGGCAGUUGUGAAGGUGCUGCAUGGUUGUCGUCAGCUCGUGCCGUGAGGUGUCGGCUUAAGUGCCAUAACGAGCGCAACCCUUAUCGAUAGUUACCAUCAGGUUAUGCUGGGGACUCUGUCGAGACUGCCGUCGUAAGAUGUGAGGAAGGUGGGGAUGACGUCAAAUCAGCACGGCCCUUACGUCCGGGGCUACACACGUGUUACAAUGGGGGGUACAGAAGGCAGCUACACGGCGACGUGAUGCUAAUCCCUAAAGCCUCUCUCAGUUCGGAUUGGAGUCCGCAACCCGACUCCAUGAAGCUGGAUUCGCUAGUAAUCGCGCAUCAGCCACGGCGCGGUGAAUACGUUCCC